CCCUUAGAUGUUCUGGGCCGCACGCGCGCUACACUGACGCACGCAACAGGUGCCUGCUCCGAGAGGACUGGGUAAUCAUUUGAGUGUGCGUCGUGAUGGGGAUAGAAUAUUGUAAUUAUUACUCUUCAACGAGGAAUUCCUAGUAAGCGCCAGUCAGCAGCUUGCGCUGAUUACGUCCCUGCCCUUUGUACACACCGCCCGUCGCUCCUACCGAUGGGUGAUCCGGUGAAUGAUUCGGACUUCAGCGGCUCCCCUGGGGUGCGCCGGAGAAAGUUUUGUGAACCUUAUCACUUGGAGGAAGGAGAAGUCGUAACA
This 315-nucleotide ribosomal RNA is filed under the name uncultured eukaryote. Its description in RNAcentral is "partial 18S ribosomal RNA". It matches the Rfam family "Eukaryotic small subunit ribosomal RNA", at positions 1470 to 1796 of the family's 1831-position model. The record is from RNAcentral.